Molecule: long non-coding RNA, 637 nt
Organism: Lacerta agilis (Sand lizard)
Lineage: Eukaryota; Metazoa; Chordata; Lepidosauria; Squamata; Lacertidae
Exons: 2
Source: RefSeq, a predicted model, not a curated record
UAAAAGCAUUGAAACUUGUGAUCAUUAAGUGCACCAUUAUACAGGAGUAACAUGCUCUGAGUGAAGAUGUUCUACUAUUUCAAUAAUCUGUCUUUAUUAAAAAGACAAAAAAAAAUCCUGUUAGGAUACUACUCGAAACAGAAAAGCAAUGUUGACUGUACUCCGUUCAGCUUGCCUCAAGUUUCAAAUUGGGAAUAUUCCAACAAGUAGCACCUGUUUGCCUCUUCAUGAUUGUGUUGCAGAAAUGUUCAGCCAUGAUAAUUUGCAUAAGUCCUCCAUUUUCUUUCUUUAUUUUUUAAAAAAGGUGAAUUUUACACUCUUCUUCUCUUCUUCCUCUGUUAAAAAUGAUUUGAUACUUUAGGUAAACUUGGUUCUGAGCAGCAAGGGGCUGGGGUUGGAGUAUUUUCCUUUUCCUUUCACAAGUCAGAGCUUGGUUUAGUGUUGGCAGUAGUGACAAGUACCAAUUGUUUGUAUGUUUUCAAGUCUCCAGAGUCUAAAAGAUAUUCCUUGAAAGCCUGCCACAGUGCCCAGUUUCUUGUUCUCCUGAGGGGCAGCAAAUGCUAACUCCAAGAGUGAUUGCGGGAAGGGGAGGAACAAGAAAAAUGCCCCAAUUUGUACCAAUGAAGAACUUCAAGUA